This is a transfer RNA of 101 nucleotides. It matches the Rfam family "tRNA". From Rfam's summary of the family: Transfer RNA (tRNA) molecules are approximately 80 nucleotides in length.
GGCCCCGUGGCGCAAUUGGCUAGCGCGGCUCUCCGUUCGUAUUACUAUUAGUAUAUCAUUAAGGCUGGAGGUAGAUACAGGUUCAAGUCCUGUCGGAGCCC